Molecule: long non-coding RNA, 583 nt
Organism: Drosophila nasuta
Lineage: Eukaryota; Metazoa; Arthropoda; Insecta; Diptera; Drosophilidae
Exons: 2
Source: RefSeq, a predicted model, not a curated record
CUACGAUUCUUAGAAAACUCAAUCAAAAAAUCUUUCCACUCAUUAUACAAAUUCUGUUGAAAGUUAAGUUAAUUUGAAGCUUUAAACAUAAAAUUAAAGAUAUUCGUAGUAUACACAUUAUUCAAAUCAAAGUCUGAACAUGUUUGAAGCACUCAAGGAAGCGGUUUGUGCCUGGACUUAUAAAUGCUAUCGCUGUGCCCAGUUGUCAAUUGUUUUUACCAUACCAUAUCUCACAUUUAAAUGCCAAAUCGACAAGCUGUGUACCUUCGAUAUCUGCCUCAUGUACGCGAGUGUCGCACUUGGUGUUCUUACUUGCAUGGAGGCUAAUCAGCGACGUAUCGCAUAAAUCUGGACAAUGCCAGCCAGAUUGUUGGAACUGCUGCUGCUGCUACUGGAACUCGCCAAGCCGAUGAAACAAAGCAGCAACAAGCUGCACACGAUUUUAUAGCACAUUUUUGUUUUGUGGUUUAUAUGAAUAUCGUAUCCAAAACUUCCAACAGUCUCUCUUCCUCCGAUUGUCUUGCAAAUUAUGUAUUAAAAUAUGCAGCUGAGCUGUGCAAAAUGUUUUGCUUUUUUUAAUUCA